GCACAAGCGGUGGAGCAUGUGGUUUAAUUCGAUGCAACGCGAAGAACCUUACCUGGGCUUGACAUCCCUGGAAUCCCCUGGAAACAGGGGAGUGCCCUUCGGGGAGCCAGGAGACAGGUGCUGCAUGGCUGUCGUCAGCUCGUGUCGUGAGAUGUUGGGUUAAGUCCGCUAACGAGCGCAACCCUCGCUGUGUGUUAUAUGUGUCACACGGGACUGCCGGUCUUAAGCCGGAGGAAGGUGGGGAUGAUGUCAAGUCAGCAUGGCCUUUAUAUCCUGGGCUACACACACGCUACAAUGGCCAACACAAUAGGUUGCUAAGCCGCGAGGUGGCGCCAAUCCAUAAAGUUGGUCUCAGUUCAGAUUGUAGGCUGCAACCCGCCUGCAUGAAGAUGGAGUUGCUAGUAACCGCAGGUCAGCUAUACUGCGGUGAAUACGUUCCCGGGGCUU
This 447-nucleotide ribosomal RNA is filed under the name uncultured Anaerolineaceae bacterium. RNAcentral's name for it is "bacterial SSU rRNA". It matches the Rfam family "Bacterial small subunit ribosomal RNA", at positions 923 to 1382 of the family's 1533-position model. Lineage: Bacteria; Bacillati; Chloroflexota; Anaerolineae; Anaerolineales; Anaerolineaceae. The record is from RNAcentral.